This 503-nucleotide ribosomal RNA is filed under the name uncultured bacterium. RNAcentral describes it as "partial 16S ribosomal RNA". It matches the Rfam family "Bacterial small subunit ribosomal RNA", at positions 30 to 523 of the family's 1533-position model. The record is from RNAcentral.
AUUGAACGCUGGCGGCAGGCUUAACACAUGCAAGUCGAGCGGGGUGAUGGUGCUUGCACUAUCACUUAGCGGCGGACGGGUGAGUAAUGCUUAGGAAUCUGCCUAUUAGUGGGGGACAACAUCUCGAAAGGGAUGCUAAUACCGCAUACGUCCUACGGGAGAAAGCAGGGGAUCACUUGUGACCUUGCGCUAAUAGAUGAGCCUAAGUCGGAUUAGCUAGUUGGUGGGGUAAAGGCCUACCAAGGCGACGAUCUGUAGCGGGUCUGAGAGGAUGAUACGGCGCACUGGGACUGCGGCACGGCCCAGACUCCUACGGGAGGCAGCAGUGGGGAAUAUUGGACAAUGGGGGGAACCAUGAUCCAGCCAUGCCGCGUGUGUGAAGAAGGCCUUAUGGUUGUAAAGCACUUUAAGCGAGGAGGAGGCUCUUUUGGUUAAUACCCAAGAUGAGUGGACGUUACUCGCAGAAUAAGCACCGGCUAACUCUGUGCCAGCCGCCGCCGUAA